This 494-nucleotide ribosomal RNA is filed under the name uncultured bacterium. Its description in RNAcentral is "bacterial SSU rRNA". It matches the Rfam family "Bacterial small subunit ribosomal RNA", at positions 28 to 507 of the family's 1533-position model. The record is from RNAcentral.
GAUGAACGCUAGCUACAGGCUUAACACAUGCAAGUCGAGGGGAAACGACAUCGAAAGCUUGCUUUUGGUGGGCGUCGACCGGCGCACGGGUGAGUAACGCGUAUCCAACCUGCCCACCACUUGGGGAUAACCUUGCGAAAGUAAGACUAAUACCCAAUGAUAUCCCACGAAGGCAUCCGAAUGGGAUUAAAGAUUUAUCGGUGAUGGAUGGGGAUGCGUCUGAUUAGCUUGUUGGCGGGGUAACGGCCCACCAAGGCUACGAUCAGUAGGGGUUCUGAGAGGAAGGUCCCCCCACAUUGGAACUGAGACACGGUCCAAACUCCUACGGGAGGCAGCAGUGAGGAAUAUUGGUCAAUGGACGCAAGUCUGAACCAGCCAAGUAGCGUGCAGGAUGACGGCCCUAUGGGUUGUAAACUGCUUUUAUGCGGGGAUAAAGUGGGCUACGCGUGGCCUUUUGCAGGUACCGCAUGAAUAAGGACCGGCUAAAUUCCGUG